Molecule: long non-coding RNA, 1908 nt
Organism: Lycium ferocissimum
Lineage: Eukaryota; Viridiplantae; Streptophyta; Magnoliopsida; Solanales; Solanaceae
Exons: 3
Source: RefSeq, a predicted model, not a curated record
AACCUUUUUCAUUAAAUCCCCAAUUGACUCCCUCAGUCGUCCAGUUAUUCAUCGAUUAUUUUUCCGAUAAAGUUCAUAAAUCUAACUUUAUCAAGGCUAUGGUGUGCUACUUCUGGUUUGGAAUGCGGCUUUCAAGCGUCACCAUUAAUUUAUUCGCCGACUUCUUCUUUACUUCUGCGUGAAUCGAUAAAUAAGGGGACAAUACGGUGCGUUUAUUGAAACAAUGGAACUUGAUUUGACCCAGAUGCAUACUAAGUUUAGUACGAAGAAAACAGGAUGAUGCUCUAUCUUAUGGACAGUUGCAAUGCUCCAAGCACUAUGACAUGCUACUCGAUAUCUUGUGUUAAAAAAGCGAAGAGGUGGCUUCUUUGGUCUGGCAAAGAAGGAAUAGCAACUGGGAGCAACGACCUUUAACUCAGUAUCAGGUAUAUGUAAUAAAUGUGCUACAUUUAUACUAUCACAGAUAGAGUAGUGCUAGUAUGUGGAAUAGCUUCCCGCAUGUAUUUCACAUCUAGUAUGUUGACUGUUGUACUUUUCUAAAGACAUAAGGUUAAGAUCUGUGGUUUGUCCUUGUGAAUGAUAUGAUCUGAUCGCCGUGCAUUAUUAUGGUUUUUGGUUCUAUAGUAAUUGAUAGUCAUACCUCUUAUUUGUACGGUUAUGCAGCUAGAAUAUACUACUCUUGAUGCUUCUGUUCUUGUUCACAUAUGGCUACACACAAACUGCUGGUGACCGAGAUGGGCAUUCCAAAAUUGAGCGGAAGUCUCCAUUGUACGAAUAGAGUACCUCUUGCUUUGUCUCUUGUGUUGUCUUUAUUUCAUCAGGCAUUGUGUUCUUUUGUUGUGUAUUAAUUCUAUCAACAAAUUUUUAUAUGCUCAGUUUUAACUUGUUUGUACAUUCUAAUGUGGCUAUUCUACAUUUCAUAAUCCUAUCUAUAUUCUUGUUAUGUAAGACUGAAAUCCGAUGGUGAGACUUUCAUAUUGUCCAACUUGGGCGUGUCUCGAUAUGGACAGGUUCGAUGUUAUUCUUCCUCUAGGCCAGGUUAGAAAUUAGAUACUGAUAUUUCAUCUAUUUCUUAUUACAAGAUAUUCAGUUCAUAGAAAGUAGCAACUAUUUUAAAGGUGGGAUCAUUAUUCAGGGGUCUAUUAUACCAUAGGAAGUAGCAACUAUUUCUCGUAUGCUUUAAUUCCUGUCCAUUUCUCUCGAUUCAUGUUUCUAUUUGUUAUCUAAUUAAAAUUCUUGUUGUCUGAAAACUUAUAUUCCUUUUUUAUUUUUUUUUGAAGCUGGUACUAUUUUGUCUGAAAACUUAUGUUCUUGUCAUCACAGAUUGAGUUUAUUUUUCAAUAAUGACAUGCAUUUUUAUUCUUAGAUACAUAUCCUCUUUGUUGUUGUAUUAUACUAGAAUUUGCAUUUUCUUCCUAGUGAUUAAUACCUCAAUGUAAUGUGGCAUAAUGGUUUUGUAGAUUUCUCUGCAACUAUAAAAACCCAACUGAUUUAGAAUCGUGGAAGGCGAAGAGAUAUAGGUGACAUUGCUACGAGAAGACAAGCAAAAGAAGUUCAAUGGGUUGAAGACUUGAUAAUGGUCCAGAGCUGGAGAAUGUCAAUAAGCUUACUAUAGUCUUGAGUUUAGAUAUUUGCUGACACUAGUUACUAGACUCAAAAUAACACUACCUGAGAGAUUCAAAUGGUGUAUUUUUUUUUUUUUUUAAUGUUGUUCACUCUGAAAUUAUGAGAAGUUGUCUUUGUUAUUAAUUUAAUGUAAUAUAUUAUGAUUGGAUGAAUUUAGCAUAUUUUGUUAUGAAUAUUUUAUUUCGUUAUGCAUGUGUGAAUAUUAUCACAAAAAAAAACAUUGAUGAUGUUGGAAUCACCUUCAUUGACAAAUUGACAUAUUUAUUGUCGAUAUAAGCAUUA